CCUACGGGUGGCAGCAGUGGGGAAUAUUGGACAAUGGGGGCAACCCUGAUCCAGCCAUGCCGCGUGUGUGAAGAAGGCCCUCGGGUUGUAAAGCACUUUCAGCGAGGAAGAACGCCUGGUGGUUAAUACCCAUCAGGAAAGACAUCACUCACAGAAGAAGCACCGGCUAACUCCGUGCCAGCAGCCGCGGUAAUACGGAGGGUGCGAGCGUUAAUCGGAAUUACUGGGCGUAAAGCGCGCGUAGGUGGCUUGAUAAGCCGGUUGUGAAAGCCCCGGGCUCAACCUGGGAACGGCAUCCGGAACUGUCAAGCUAGAGUGCAGGAGAGGAAGGUAGAAUUCCCGGUGUAGCGGUGAAAUGCGUAGAGAUCGGGAGGAAUACCAGUGGCGAAGGCGGCCUUCUGGACUGACACUGACACUGAGGUGCGAAAGCGUGGGUAGCAAACAGGAUUAGAUACCCUAGUAGUC
Molecule: ribosomal RNA, 465 nt
Filed under: Vreelandella stevensii
Lineage: Bacteria; Pseudomonadati; Pseudomonadota; Gammaproteobacteria; Oceanospirillales; Halomonadaceae
Description: partial 16S ribosomal RNA
Rfam family: Bacterial small subunit ribosomal RNA
Source: RNAcentral